CACGUAGGGGGCGAGCGUUGUCCGGAUUUAUUGGGCGUAAAGAGCUCGUAGGCGGCUCAGUAAGUCUACUGUGAAAGCUCCAGGCUCAACCUGGAGAGGCCAGUGGAUACUGCUGUGGCUAGAGUCCGGUAGGGGAGCGUGGAAUUCCCAGUGUAGCGGUGGAAUGCGCAGAUAUUGGGAGGAACACCAGCGGCGAAGGCGGCGCUCUGGGCCGGAACUGACGCUGAGGAGCGAAAGCGUGGGUAGCAAACAGG
Molecule: ribosomal RNA, 254 nt
Filed under: uncultured prokaryote
Description: partial 16S ribosomal RNA
Rfam family: Bacterial small subunit ribosomal RNA
Source: RNAcentral